Molecule: ribosomal RNA, 424 nt
Filed under: uncultured prokaryote
Description: bacterial SSU rRNA
Rfam family: Bacterial small subunit ribosomal RNA
Source: RNAcentral
CAAGGAAUUUUCCCCAAUGGGCGCAAGCCUGAGGGAGCAACGCCGCGUGCAGGACGACGGCCUUCGGGUUGUAAACUGCUUUUGCGUGGGACGAUAACGACGGUACCACGCGAAUCAGCCCCGGCUAACUCUGUGCCAGCAGCCGCGGUAAUACGGAGGGUGCAAGCGUUGUCCGGAUUUAUUGGGUUUAAAGGGUACGUAGGCGGACUAUUAAGUCUGAGGUGAAAGCUUUCGGCUCAACCGGAAAAUUGCCUUGGAUACUGGUAGUCUUGAGUACAGUAGAGGUGGGCGGAAUUCAUGGUGUAGCGGUGAAAUGCAUAGAUACCAUGAGGAACACCGAUAGGGAAGCCAGCUCACUGGACUGUCACUGACGCUGAGGUACGAAAGCGUGGGGAGCGAACAGGAUUAGAUACCCCCGUAGUCC